RNAcentral lists this transfer RNA (92 nucleotides) under Sulfitobacter sp. THAF37. RNAcentral's name for it is "tRNA-Ser". It matches the Rfam family "tRNA". Rfam says of the family: Transfer RNA (tRNA) molecules are approximately 80 nucleotides in length. Their secondary structure includes four short double-helical elements and three loops (D, anti-codon, and T loops). The record is from RNAcentral. Lineage: Bacteria; Pseudomonadati; Pseudomonadota; Alphaproteobacteria; Rhodobacterales; Roseobacteraceae.
UGAGGCCAUGGGCUGAGAUACCGCAGGCGCUCCCCUGCUAAGGGAGUAGGCCCGGAAGGGUCUCGAGGGUUCGAAUCCCUUCGUCUCCGCCA